RNAcentral lists this long non-coding RNA (220 nucleotides) under Nicotiana benthamiana. RNAcentral's name for it is "long non-coding RNA (NBEN_LNC010434)". The record is from RNAcentral. Lineage: Eukaryota; Viridiplantae; Streptophyta; Magnoliopsida; Solanales; Solanaceae.
UUUUGAUGAAUAUUUUUAGGUUAAAUAACAAUUGAUGAAUUUGCGAAAAAUGACCGUUAUUAUGGUGUUACUAAUAUUUGGAAUUAUUUGAUUUUGUUUAUAACAAUUGAUAUCGUCAAUGGAUUAAAUAACUUUUGGUAUACUCUUUUUGCUAAUGCCAAAAGGGGGAAGAAUAUGGGCGAUAUGCAUGCCUUAAUUGAGGGGGAAUAUUCAAUUAAGG